This 389-nucleotide long non-coding RNA is filed under the name Dromaius novaehollandiae (emu). RNAcentral describes it as "lncRNA (ENSDNVG00000006817.1)". The record is from RNAcentral. Lineage: Eukaryota; Metazoa; Chordata; Aves; Casuariiformes; Dromaiidae.
UGUAGGACUGGAUCAGUACUGUGCAGCUGCUACAGCAAGCCUUUGGCUUGGGCAGGAGUGCAGGUAUUGCCAUCCUUUCCAGCACUGACAAAGAUCUAUCUGUGAGGCUGCACUCGUUUUCAGCUGGGAUGACAGGAACUACAUCAGGAACUAUAUUCGGAAGAAGAGGGGAGGAAAAAAAGGAAGAAGAAAAAAGGAAAACAGCAUGCAGAGAAGAACUAUAUACUUGGAACAAAACAGGUACAGUUACUUCGUGCUGGAUUUAUUUCCGCACAACAUAACAGCUUUCCACAAUAUGCUUUAGAUGGAAUUCCCAGGUGACUUACUGUUGUAUUUAAAUACUGCUUGCUUAGGAUUUAAAUAAACAGCUUUUAUAUUAAUUAGAAACA